RNAcentral lists this ribosomal RNA (368 nucleotides) under uncultured organism. Its description in RNAcentral is "bacterial SSU rRNA". It matches the Rfam family "Bacterial small subunit ribosomal RNA", at positions 526 to 896 of the family's 1533-position model. The record is from RNAcentral.
CGGAGGGUGCAAGCGUUAUCCGGAUUCGCUGGGUUUAAAGGGAGCGUAGGUGGCCUUGUAAGUCAGUGGUGAAAUGUCGCGGCUCAACCGCGAAACUGCCAUUGAUACUGCUUAGCUUGAAUCACGUCGAGGUGGAUGGAAUAUUACAUGUAGCGGUGAAAUGCUUAGAUAUGUAAUAGAACACCGAUUGCGAAGGCAGUUCACUAGGCGUGUAUUGACACUGAGGCUCGAAAGCGUGGGGAUCAAACAGGAUUAGAUACCCUGGUAGUCCACGCCCUAAACGAUGUAAACUCGACAUUAGCGAUAUACUGUUAGUGUCCAAGCGAAAGCGUUAAGUUUACCACCUGGGAAGUACGACCGCAAGGUUG